GGAAUUGUUCAUCCGUUGGGACUUGUUGGAAGGAGUUGCAUCUAAGUCGGGGUUAAGGGCAUAUAGUCUUUCAAUUUGAUUUUAGACGAUCUUCACCUCUUGAGCUAGUUUUGGGGCUCAACGUUCAUAGCGUAACACGAUUAAGAGCCCGGCACAUCUCAAUUCAUUGUUUACCCAUACCUGAUAUGUUGAGCCCCAAUCUUAUGUUG
Molecule: long non-coding RNA, 209 nt
Filed under: Capsicum annuum
Lineage: Eukaryota; Viridiplantae; Streptophyta; Magnoliopsida; Solanales; Solanaceae
Description: long non-coding RNA (CANN_LNC003631)
Source: RNAcentral